CAUUAAGUUCUUUAGUGAGAUUUUGAAUUUUUAUUUCAAUAUAUAAUAAUUUAACGAUUUAUUCUUAAUGG
Molecule: transfer RNA, 71 nt
Filed under: Binodoxys communis
Lineage: Eukaryota; Metazoa; Arthropoda; Insecta; Hymenoptera; Braconidae
Description: tRNA-Lys
Source: RNAcentral